Long non-coding RNA from Gallus gallus (chicken), 1073 nucleotides. RefSeq lists it as uncharacterized. The transcript is spliced from 5 exons. NCBI's taxonomy places the organism in Eukaryota, Metazoa, Chordata, Aves, Galliformes, Phasianidae. The record is from RefSeq and is a predicted model, not a curated record.
AGUACAAGACAGCUGAGAUCACACCUUCCUGGCUUCACUACAGCAAACCAGCAUUAUCCUGGUGCAUUAUCUGUUCUAUGGUAAUAGAAGACGCAGAGAAGAAAAAAGAAGCAUCCUGUUCCUUUUAUCAAGCCACCUAGGUAGAUUCUUGAAUCCACCUCCUGGAAAGGAGACAUAAACCUGCUGCCUGAGCUGUCUUAAGAGCUUGAUCAAGCAGUGAGGAGGUCAGUAUUGAACGCUGAUGUGAACAUUGACUUUUAAAGAAGCGGCUUCUAGCAGAAGGCCUGCCCCACUCCUUCUUAAGGAAAGACUUGAGAUAUAAACCACAAUGGGAAAAAAGAAGUGAAGCUAUUGGAAGAUGCUACGUUUCAGGGAAUUGUCUGUCUUUCUACCAACGGGAUCCAGUGAAGUCAGAGCAAGAGCCAACUCAGCAGUGAAAGCAUCAGAGGAAUAAUGGGGAAAAAAGCGCAGAGAAGAUCAGUAAUAAGAAACUUUUUCCUAUUAUUCAAAGUGAUUACGGAAUGAGUCUCUGUGAGUUUUUGUGGAACACGUUAAAAAAAACAAGAUUCUCCCACAUCCUCUUAAAGGUAGGUGGUGAUAGUUUCCCUGGUUCACUCUGUGUAAUCCAACUGCCAGUGACCCCCAGUAACAACGUCGUGAACUCAGCAGUCCUCCUAGUAGCUCUUUAAGGCUGCAUUAACCCCUUUUUGCAUUAAGGGCAGGAAGCUGCACCAUUAAAGAAGUGAUUGGGUAUGUGAAAAUAUUUCACCAAAUAUUUCUCCUGUUAGAGAGCAAAUGAGUCAGCCAGAAAAUAGACACCUUUAAGUGAUGCUUGCUGUAAACACACAUGUAUUCAUGCCAUGUAUGCAUGCCAUGUAACAGCGUGGCCUCAUGAUGGUCCUGAGGAAAGAGUUUAUGGGAGGUUGGUGCUGUGCACAUGUGGAGCACAAUAUUCUGGGGUCAGGCAACUCCUGCUCAAAGUUAAAAAUGAGAUGCAGAUGUACACUGAGGUCUGUAUGAGCGCUUUUGGAAAACUGCCUAAAAUCUAAGCCAAGCCAGUGAGUCACCGGCAU